CAGAUUGAGAGCGGCCUAGACAGGUUGUGUGACUUCGCCCCCAAUCCCCUGAGGCCUAAGUGUGAGAACUUGGUCCAACAACGCGGGUCACUUCUGGUCCAACUGCUGCAGCAGAUUCCUAAAGACCGUCUGUGCAUCCUCAUCUGCCGCUCCAACAACGCUGAAAACUAGAUCUAGAGGAAGAUUGUGUGAGCCCCUGCUGUGAGUGAGAUGAAGGACCGAGUGUGUAUAGUUGUCGCGGGAAUUGUCUCCACGAAGUUCGGCCACGCCAGGGAGUGCGUCCAUGCCAUGUCCACACGGGUGACGUCACAAGACCUCGUCCCAUCGGUCACUCUGUUCGUCCGUUGGUGCUCCACUUCUUGCCACAGCAGGCCCGCGUCUUCCCCAGUCUCUGAUGACGUAUUAUGUAGACCAUUGUUGGCUUGUUUUAUGUAGUAGACCAUUGUUGGCUUCUUGUUUUAUGAUGUUGUAGACAACUAUUGUAUUUGUUGUAGACCGCUGUUGAUGUAGCUCUAUUGUUUUAUAAAGUUGUAGACCAUUUGUGCUUUUAUGAAGUUGUAGAUCACUGGAUCUCACGUUCAUCAGUGUCUUUCUUCGUCUCUUUGCCUUGCAGCACUUGAUCAGACUUGUACAAGACUACGUACAAAAGGUGAAACUCUGUGAAAUUACAGAAUGUUUAGACGAUUUGUAUGUCGUCCUUGUUCAGCUUGCUUAGAAUUUCAAAUUGUUAUUCACAACCCUCAAUGGUAAUUGAUGGUACGAUAUGCACG
This 770-nucleotide long non-coding RNA is filed under the name Aplysia californica (California sea hare). Its description in RNAcentral is "uncharacterized LOC101855215". The record is from RNAcentral. Lineage: Eukaryota; Metazoa; Mollusca; Gastropoda; Aplysiida; Aplysiidae.